UGACGACGGGGGGGGCUUGCUCCUUAGGUCAGCGGCGGACGGGUGAGUAACACGUGGGUAACCUGCCUGUAAGACUGGGAUAACUCCGGGAAACCGGGGCUAAUACCGGAUGCUUGAUUGAACCGCAUGGUUCAAUCAUAAAAGGUGGCUUUUAGCUACCACUUACAGAUGGACCCGCGGCGCAUUAGCUAGUUGGUGAGGUAACGGCUCACCAAGGCGACGAUGCGUAGCCGACCUGAGAGGGUGAUCGGCCACACUGGGACUGAGACACGGCCCAGACUCCUACGGGAGGCAGCAGUAGGGAAUCUUCCGCAAUGGACGAAAGUCUGACGGAGCAACGCCGCGUGAGUGAUGAAGGUUUUCGGAUCGUAAAACUCUGUUGUUAGGGAAGAACAAGUACCGUUCGAAUAGGGCGGCACCUUGACGGUACCUAACCAGAAAGCCACGGCUAACUACGUGCCAGCAGCCGCGGUAAUACGUAGGUGGCAAGCGUUGUCCGGAAUUAUUGGGCGUAAAGCGCGCGCAGGCGGUUUCUUAAGUCUGAUGUGAAAGCCCCCGGCUCAACCGGGGAGGGUCAUUGGAAACUGGGGAACUUGAGUGCAGAAGAGGAGAGUGGAAUUCCACGUGUAGCGGUGAAAUGCGUAGAGAUGUGGAGGAACACCAGUGGCGAAGGCGACUCUCUGGUCUGUAACUGACGCUGAGGCGCGAAAGCGUGGGGGAGCGAACAGGAUUAGAUACCCUGGUAGUCCACGCCGGUAACGAUGAGUGCUAAGUGUUAGGAGGGUUUCCGCCCUUUAGUGCUGCAGCAAACGCAUUAAGGCACUCCCGCCUUGGGGAGUACGGUCGCAAGGACUGAAAACUCAAAAGGGAAUUUGACCGGGGGCCCGGCACAAGCGGUUGGGAAGCAAUGGUGGGGUUUUAAAUUCCAAAGCA
Molecule: ribosomal RNA, 933 nt
Filed under: Bacillus paralicheniformis
Lineage: Bacteria; Bacillati; Bacillota; Bacilli; Caryophanales; Bacillaceae
Description: bacterial SSU rRNA
Rfam family: Bacterial small subunit ribosomal RNA
Source: RNAcentral